This 323-nucleotide unclassified non-coding RNA is filed under the name uncultured Glomerales. RNAcentral describes it as "sequence contains 5.8S rRNA gene, ITS2, 28S rRNA gene". The stretch from base 1 to 52 matches the Rfam family "5.8S ribosomal RNA", at positions 103 to 154 of the family's 154-position model. The record is from RNAcentral. Lineage: Eukaryota; Fungi; Glomeromycota; Glomeromycetes; Glomerales; Glomeraceae.
AACGCAAAUUGCACUCCCUGGUAUUCCGGGGAGUAUGCCUGUUUGAGGGUCGCCAAAUAAACAUCGAUUAAACAUUGUUGUUAUAUCGGACUUGAGCUUUCUUUAACCUUUUUUUUUUAAAUGGGUUUUAAAGUGGCUUAAAAAUUAUUUUCCUUGGUAUCAUAACGUUAUUUUACGAUCAAUUUUUGAUUAAAAACGUUUUUAAUAAUACCAUUCUUUAACAAAUGUAAUACGUUCGACCAUAUAUGUAAUAUGGGUUCAUUCGUAUACGAUCAAAUCAUUUUUUUGACCUCAAAUCAGGUAAGAAUACCCGCUGAACUUAA